AACCGGCGAAACCCUGGGCCGCCAAAACAGAGUGUGUGAACUUAACCACUUGGCCACGGGGCCGGCCCCUGAUUCGUUUAGAUCUUAAGAGCUAACUAUUUAUUAUAAACAUUGCUGAAUUAGAAAUUCUAUCUUAAGUGUCCUGUCCUCAAUUUUUCCAGAGCUGGUAAGCUAAAGUUGGCUCUUUUGAUAAUUGACCCUCAAGUAUAAUAUCCUUAAACUCUCAGGCAUGUAUUCAUUUUGAAUAUUCGUGAAUAUUUUGCCCGUGAAGGGAGAUGUAGAUAAAUUUGUUCUCAAAUGUAUUCUUUUAAUGAAUAACAAGGACUGUUUAUAUUUUGGAAGUCCAUUUGUGGUUUUUUUUUGUUUGGUUUUACCUUAUUUUUGAUAGGUUAUUUUGCAAAGAAAAGCAUCUAGAAUGUGUGAUGGUUUUAAAAUGUCCGCAUGUUCUUUGAUAUUCUUCUCUUUAAGAAGUGAAGCUUACUUCCCCUCUCCUUGAGCGUGGGCUGGACUUAAUGACUUGCAUUUAAUGAAUAGCAUGUGGCAAAAGUGAUGGCGUGCAUCUUCCUAGACUAGCUCAUAAGAGACAUUGUGGCUUCCUCCUCGCUUCUUUGUGUUGGAUCACUCACUCUGGGAGGACGCCAAUGACAGGUCACGAGGAUACUCAAGCAGUCCUGUGGAGAGGCCCACCUAGUGAGGAUCUCCUGCCAACAGCCUCGUGAGCAAGCCAUCUUGGAAGACGAUCCUCCAGUCCCAGUCAUGUCUUCAGAUGACUCCAGCCCUUUGCUGACAUCUUAAGUCAAACCUCAUAAGACAUCCCGAGCCAGAACCAUCUAGCUAAGCCACUCCCCAAAUCAGACCCAUAGAUAUUACGGGCUAAAAGUGUUUGUUUUAAGCUGCUAAGUUUAGGGGUAAUUUGCUUCUCAGCAAUAGGUAACUAAACCAAGAGUGUACUUUGACCAUCAGGGUCUAAAUAAAAACCUGAAGUUCCAAGGUUAUUUUUCACUUUUCAUAUUGCAAAUAAGUGUAACCCAGAUAUCAGUGGCAGCAACUUCUUUCAGACAUCUAGAUCUAAUUGACUCCCCUCAGAGCCCAGUCAGUUCCAGAGCUGUGAAUUCGGAACUCCACUCUGUGGCAUCAUCCUGGACACAAAGUACUGACCCUCGCCUUCCAGACCUCUGCUUUCACCUGACCAGGGAUUAUCAAGGCACUCUGUCCAAAUAAAUGCAGCGUUCUCUUUAGUAGGAAUUGAGCCUGAGAGCAACUUGAGAAGCUGGAACUUUCUCCUUUAUCUUGUGCUGCCCACAGUGCCCAGCACUGACUUAUAAACAUGCUGUUCAGUAAGUGCUGGGGGAGAGGGAGGAAGGAAUGAAGAGAUGAGGAAAAGGAACUGGAGAGAAAGGCAGAAGAAAGAAGGGGCCAGAUGAGCAAAAAGAAGGAUGACGAGAAGAAGGAAAGAAGGAAGAAGAGGACAGAAACUGGUUACUCUCUCAAAUAAGAAUCAGAAAUUUAUAUUCUGUAAAGUUUGCUCACAUCUACUGUUUGUGUUUUGUUUUGUUUCGCUUUGUUUACUUAGCAUCAGUUCUUUGGUUCACCUGUACUAAGACCAAGAAAGCUUUGUGUAGUUGAGAGUAGAGUUAUUGGUGAGGGCACCAGCAGCUACACCAGCUCCAGAGAGAUUGGGGCUGGAGCUGUGAGAUAGGGGAGCCGGACAGCCAUCCCAUUAAACGUAUCCCUGCACCUAAUCCCUUCCUGUAAUUCACACUGGACAAUCUCUUUACAGCCUGCUAACACCUGGGGCACAACCAAAUCUUCUCCAUUUCUCUCUGUAAUCCCUCCAAAGGUAUUUUCUGAGUUUUAGUCUUUUGUGCUUUAUCCACUGGUUUCUGAGAUCCUGAAUACCUUCCUUUCAACUGCAUUUCAUAGAUAGCUGAAAAGCCUUUUGCUGCCAUACUCCCUACUUUGUACACAUCCUUAAGUCUUUUGUCCUGGCUUCCUUACCUGUCCCAUAAAAUUUAAAUUGAGUCGAUUAGUUUCGAUCAUAGGGCCAAAGAGGCUAAGGUCAAAGAUUAAAUAC
Non-coding RNA from Equus caballus (horse), 2074 nucleotides. The record is from RefSeq and is a predicted model, not a curated record. NCBI's taxonomy places the organism in Eukaryota, Metazoa, Chordata, Mammalia, Perissodactyla, Equidae.